GACGAACGCUGGCGGCGUGCUUAACACAUGCAAGUCGAACGGAAAGGCCUCUUUCGGGGGGUACUCGAGUGGCGAACGGGUGAGUAAUACGUGAGUAACCUGCCCUUGACUUUGGGAUAACUUCAGGAAACUGGGGCUAAUACCGGAUAGGAGCUCCUGCUGCAUGGUGGGGGUUGGAAAGUUUCGGCGGUUGGGGAUGGACUCGCGGCUUAUCAGCUUGUUGGUGGGGUAGUGGCUUACCAAGGCUUUGACGGGUAGCCGGCCUGAGAGGGUGACCGGCCACAUUGGGACUGAGAUACGGCCCAGACUCCUACGGGAGGCAGCAGUGGGGAAUAUUGCACAAUGGGUGGAAGCCUGAUGCAGCAACGCCGUGUGCGGGAUGACGGCCUUCGGGUUGUAAACCGCUUUCGCUCAUGACGAAGCUUUGUGUGACGGUAGUGGGUAAAGAAGCACCGGCUAACUACGUG
This 467-nucleotide ribosomal RNA is filed under the name uncultured bacterium. RNAcentral describes it as "partial 16S ribosomal RNA". It matches the Rfam family "Bacterial small subunit ribosomal RNA", at positions 28 to 507 of the family's 1533-position model. The record is from RNAcentral.